CCGACGGGUGAGUAACACGUAUGCAAUCCACCUGUAACAGGGGAUAACCCGGAGAAAUCCGGACUAAUACCCCAUAAUAUGGGCGCUCCGCAUGGAGAGCCCAUUAAAGAGAGCAAUUUUGGUUACAGACGAGCAUGCGCUCCAUUAGCCAGUUGGCGGGGUAGCGGCCCACCAAAGCGACGAUGGAUAGGGGUUCUGAGAGGAAGGUCCCCCACAUUGGAACUGAGACACGGUCCAA
This 238-nucleotide ribosomal RNA is filed under the name uncultured bacterium. RNAcentral describes it as "partial 16S ribosomal RNA". It matches the Rfam family "Bacterial small subunit ribosomal RNA", at positions 102 to 334 of the family's 1533-position model. The record is from RNAcentral.